CCAGGCCCUCUAACUGCAAAUU
RNAcentral lists this microRNA (22 nucleotides) under Monodelphis domestica (gray short-tailed opossum). RNAcentral's name for it is "mdo-miR-12333-3p". The record is from miRBase by way of RNAcentral. Lineage: Eukaryota; Metazoa; Chordata; Mammalia; Didelphimorphia; Didelphidae.